This 422-nucleotide unclassified non-coding RNA is filed under the name Solidago fistulosa. Its description in RNAcentral is "partial external transcribed spacer". The record is from RNAcentral. Lineage: Eukaryota; Viridiplantae; Streptophyta; Magnoliopsida; Asterales; Asteraceae.
AUGAGUGGUGUUUGGUUUGAUACGGGUGGUCGGCUCCCUGCUUGAGCAGGCACGGCCACGCGUGCAUUCCUUUUCAGUUGUGCGGCAAGGCUUGUAUCGUCUUGAUCGUAUAAGUGGGUUUCUUGUGUUGCAUACCUGAUCAAUGGCAUCGUUUUGAUCAAAAUGGUACCUUUUUCGUCUGACGAUGCACUUAUUGCGUUGUCGGAUGAACCGUGUAGCAUCCUCUUUGAUCCAUACAGUUGACGUGUACUCGUUGAUUGUUUGGCCCGUUGAGGGUGACUUGGUCUCUYGGAUAUGGAAGCCAAAGUGGGCAUGGGUUCGCAAGAUCCCUUUAUUGCCCUCAUUGAGCGUUCUCGCUUCUCUUACACGACUGCCUUUCACGUAUGGCACGUCCCAGCGUGUUUGGCUAUGUCGAAAAGGAA